Molecule: long non-coding RNA, 1149 nt
Organism: Astatotilapia calliptera (eastern happy)
Lineage: Eukaryota; Metazoa; Chordata; Actinopteri; Cichliformes; Cichlidae
Source: Ensembl
GUAAUAUCCAUCACUCGAAGAAAUAUUUAUGCAUGUCUCGCUACAGGCUUAAGGGCCAUCAGGGGGCAACUGUUAAAAAAGAAGACUGGAUGAGACUCCACAGUAACAGCGCUCGGCUCUCUUGUUCUAUGACCUCAGUUAAUACUCUCUUGGUGAGCAAUUGUUUGUUUCACAGACUGCUGAAAACAACAUGAUGUUCAUUUUUGCAAAUGAUUACACUCUUUACCAUCUGAAACCGGGUAUAGUUUAUGAUGGGCCAACCUCAUAUCUGGAAAGUUGCUUCGAAAUAGCGAGACAGUUGAACACUCAGCUCGACCCUUCAUAACAGCACCUCCCUAACCAUUAGACGGCAUAAUCGCGCUCACGUCCACCUUUCAUGUACGAAUAGAUUUAAUGUAGAUCUUCUGGAGAUUACGGCCUUAUUAGUGGACUCUUGUGUCUCGUCUCGUGUACUUGUCUCUUUUUUUUCAUUAAUAUUUUACUUUGUCUGGGUUACUUUAUGGAAAUUGUACCCCCUAACCCCCCUAUUUGAUCACGUGUUGAGUUUCAGAGAUGUGACACAUUUUUGUGAGCUCCCCAUCUCUCUUGAGUAUUUAAACAGUCACUGUGACAGGCAAGUGAAGAUCAACGUGCAUGUGGGAAUAUAAAUAUUAAGCCGAAUUUUGGAAGCAUACUUGUUGAUGCAUAACCUUGUCGCCUAAGAAAGGGCAGAUAACCCUUAAUGAAACUGUCAAUAAUAAAUAACUGUGUUAUUUUCUCAGACUAAAAGGUCCCUGCAGAGCUUCUGUUGUUCAUAGGCUGAGUGGGACUGAGCGUGAUGAGUAACUUGACCUUAAUAUUGUAAAAUAUGUCCAAUCUGGUGUUGCUUUAGGCAAACUCUUGUUUACUGUAGUUCAUCAAUGAAGCACAGAAAAAGAAGAAGGAAGCGUGCCUUCUAAUUUUCAUUUUCUGUCCUCAGACCAAAUGUUUCAUCUGUGGGAUCGGGAACGAUUACUUCGACACAACCCCCCACGGCUUUGAGACCCACACCUUACAAGAGCACAAUUUGGCCAACUAUCUGUUUUUCCUGAUGUACCUCAUCAACAAGGAUGAGACAGAGCACACUGGACAGGUAGAAGACUAUUUUACCCUGAUUAGCUUAACCCAUUC